This 5355-nucleotide long non-coding RNA is filed under the name Sus scrofa (pig). RNAcentral's name for it is "lncRNA (ENSSSCG00030050106.1)". The record is from RNAcentral. Lineage: Eukaryota; Metazoa; Chordata; Mammalia; Artiodactyla; Suidae.
UUCUGUCUAGAGGAUCUGUCCAUUGAUGUGUGUUGGGUGUUAAAGUCUCCUACUCUCAUUGUAAUCCCAUGAGCUUCUCCUUUUAUGUCUGUUAGUAUUUGUUGUAGGUAUCCAGUGCUCCUAUAUUAGGGGCAUAUAUAUUGAUGAUUGUAAUGUCCUCUUCUUGAAUGGAUCCUUUAACCAUUAAAUAGUGUCCUUUGUCAUUGUUUAUGGCCUCCAUUUGAAAGUCUAUAUCAUCGGAUAUGAGUAUUGCAACUCCUGCUUUCCUCUCUCUUCCAUUGGCAUGAAAUAUCUUUUCCCAUCCCUUCACUUUCAAUUUAUAAGGUGGGUCUCUGUAGACAGCGUAUUGUAGGCUUUUGCUUUUUUAUCCAGUCUGUCACUCUGUGUCUUUUGAUUGGAGCAUUCAUUCCUCUGACAUUUAAAGCAAUUAUUGAAAAAUAUUUAUUGCCAUUUUAAACCUUGUUUUCCAGUUGAUUCUAUGUUUCUUCUUUGUUCUUUUCUUUUUAAUGGUUGGAUGGUUUCCUUUUAUUUUAUACUUGUAUACUUUUCUUUUUAGUUUUUGUGAAUGUAAUGUUUGGCUUUGAUUUGUGGUUGCCCUGUUUUUCCAGUAGGUUAUCUCCUUCCUAUAUCUGCUUGCUUUAGCCUAAUAGUCGUAUAGGCUCAAACACAUUCUUAAAAAAAAAAAAAAAAAAGAGUCUAGAUUUUCUUACUCUCCUUCCCCACAGUCUAUGAUUUUGAAGUCCUUUUUUAACAUCCUUAUGUUUGUGCUUUUGCUGUUCCUUGUGUUUAUUGUCACUUUUACAAUAGGUUUUUCUUUUUUCCAUUUUAGGUCUGUUUACUGGCUUAUUUAAGUGAUUGCUUUCCAAUUGUGAUUUCCUCUAUCCUAUUUCUUCUUCUUUUUUGAGUAGCCCAUUCAGUAUUUCUUUCAGAAUGGCUUUAGUAUUGCUGUACUCUUUUAGCUUUUUUUGUUGUUGUUGGAGAAAUUCUUUAUUUAUCCUAUCUUAAAUGAUAUUCUUGCUGGAUAGAGUAUUCUAGGCUGCAAAUUUUUUCCUUUUAGAACUUUGAAUAUAUCUUGCUGCUCUCUUCUGGCCUGUAGUGUUUCUGUAGAGAAAUCAGCUGAUAGCCUUAUGGGGGUUCACUUAUUAUUGAUGCUCUUUUUUUUUUUUUUUUCCCAUGCUGCCUUUAGAAUCCUCUUUAUCUUUAACUUUGCCUUUUUUAUUAUAAUAUGUCCUGGUGUGGGCCUGUUUAGGUUCAACUUGUUUGGGGCCCUCUGUGCUUCCUAUAUCUCGAUAGCUGUUUCCUCUGGAUUUGGAAAGUUUUCAGACUAAAUUUCUUCAAAUAUAUUUUCAAUCCCCUUUUCUUUUUCUUCUCCUUCUGGAAUCCCUAUUAUGUGUAGAUUGGCCUGCUUUCUAUUAUCCCGUAGGUCUCUUAUAUUGCUUUCAUGUUUUUUCAUUUGGUUUUCUGUCUGCUGUCCUGAUUGGGUGAUUUCCAUUAUUCUAUCUUCCACGUCACGGAUUCCUUCCUCUGCAUUAUUCAUCCUGCUCUUUCGUGCCUUUGGCCCAGUUUGCGUCUCUGCAAAUGAAUUUUCUAAUUUUUCUAUGUUCCUCCUUAUAUUUUCUAGUUCCUUUCUAAAAGGAAUCUGCAUCACUGUUGAUAUCCACCCUUAAUUCCUUCAUAUUCUCCCUUAAUUCCUUCAGUAUUUUUGCUGUCUCCCUUUUGGACUCAGUGUCUGUCACACUGCAGAGGUCUGUUUUCAUUGUUUGCUACUUCAGGUGAAUUGUCCUGUUCCUUUAACUGGGAGUGGUUUCUGAGCUGCUUCAUUUGGCUUAUAUUUUUCUUUUUCUGUGAGUUUAGGGAAACCAACUACUGUAGUCUCAGAGGGCUAUUUCUAUGCAAGAGCACCCCCUUUGUAUUUUGUGGGGGGUUACUGUUUAUUUUUGGCAUAGGAGUUUAUUUGCUGUUUCUUCAUUGUGAGCAGGCUGUUAUCCCCAGGGUGCUGAGUGUGUUUCCAGGGAGAAGGUGGCAAUGGGUAGGGCUAGUAGUCAGUGCCUGGUUGCUGGGCUCGAGACAGCAGUAAGCACCCAAGGACCUGCAGGAAGGAGGCACAGGCUACUCCUAGUUGCAGGGCCCUGGGAAGUGGUAGUGAGCCUAGGCAGAUUUACAGGGUGCCCAGAGCAAUUGGCAGUGGCAGCAGCAGGGUGUGUGAGUUCCCAGGGGAGUGACAGCAACAACAUGUGGUGUUUGGUUGCAGUGCCCUCCUCUGUGAUGCCCUCUGAGGUGACUGGGGCCACGACUGGUACCUUUUCACGGACCCCUGGUGGUGGUGGGAGGCCAUGCCCCUCUCUGGUGUCUGAGAUGACUGCUGUGGUUUGUCUCUGCCACCUACAGAACACGCAAGAGGUGCUGUGUCACACGUAGCCCCUGCUGCCCUUAGCACACACAAUGGGUGCCCGGUCUCCUAUAGCCUAUGCAAGUAGUUUCUCCCCACUGUAACCUGCACCAGAGGUGCCCUGGCCUCUGAGCGCCUGCAGUGAGCAGGCAGAUUCCUGUGGCGGGCCACCCUCCUCCUCUCGCCCUCCCAGCAAUGCUGCCUUGCUUUCCUGCAGGGCCCAGACCUCCUCCAGGUUCCCUCGGCUGUGGCUUUCUGCUCCCCAGCCCAUGGCGCACUGCUCCCUAGCCCCCCAGGCUGAAUCCACACAGCCAGCCGUAGUCCUCGGACCAGAACUGACCCCAGAGGAGCCUGAGUCUCAGCAUCCACCCCCUCUCCCGCCCCCAGCAUCUCAGGCUGUGGUGUCCAGGGCGGGGGUGCAGAUGAUCUGUGCCGCUCUCACUCGGCUCUGCCCUCCUCAGUCCAGCUGCCGCGUUUUCUCAGUGACUUUGAGGUCCCUCCAUCUCGGCCGACCUCCCCGUUGGUUAGGUGGCUUCCCAGGGUGGGUUCCUUUCCUCUUUCACGGUUCCGUCUCGGGAACGCGAGUCCCGUCCUGAGACCUUUCUCUCUCUCUCUUUUUUCUUUUGUUCAACCCAGUUAUGAGGAGGGUUUCUUGCCCUUUUUAGAGGUUUACGUCCCGCCAGCGCUCAGUAGAUGCUCCGUGCGGGUUGUUCUACAUGUAGACGUAUUUUUUUGAUGUCUUUGUGGAAGAAAGUGACUGUGACCUCUUCCUCCACCGUCUUGAUUAGCUCCUCCGGACACUGGCUAGAGUUCCCUGCGCUACACAGCAGGACCUUGUUGCUUAUGCAUCCUGUAGAUAAUAGUUUGCCAUUGCUAAUCCCAAAUUCCCAAUCCUCUCCCCUCGCCUCCUCCCCACUCCUUUGGCAACUCUAAGUCUGUUCUCUACUCAUGAGUGUUUUUGGUCUCAUAGAUAUGUCAAUUGGUGUCAUAUUUUAGUUUCCACAUAUGAGAGAUAUCACAUGGUAUCUUUCUCUUUCUGACUCCUCUUAGUAUGAUAAUCAAAGUCCACCCAUGUUGCCGCAAAAGACAGUAUUUCAUUCUCUUUCAAUGGCUGUGUAAUAUUCGAUUGUGUAUAUAUGCCCAGGAGUAGGAUUGCUGGAUGGAUCACUUGGCAACUAAAACCCAAUUUUAAGUACGAUUGGUGGAGGAUGAGGCUCGUGACAGUCCUACUGUGGCCUUGCAGCCAGUCGGAGCUGCCAUGACGCGAACUCAACCAGGCAUUCAUGCUGAUCAGAUUUGGUAACACAAUUAUAGCAAAACCAUUGUGACCCUUAAGCAAAAUGGAAUCACAUUAAAUUGCUCGUUGUUAGUGAUCAAUAAGAAGUCAGUAACUUAUAGUUAUUGAUUGCAUAAUACUCCCAGUGAGGAAGUGGGCAUCAAUCCAGUCAAGUUAUGAAUAAAGACAAAAGGGGGGAAAUUUGCCAGAAUUAAACUGACUGCUUUAUGACUUUUUCCCAGGCUCUCGGUCCUUGACCCUAGUCUUUUCUGGAAACAUGUUGGACGUUGAAUAAUAAGUAGAUGCACUAAAUAAUAAUAGUAGCAGUCCUGGUAGUAGCAUUUAACCGGAGGUAAGCUCUAUUCUAAACGCGUUGCUUGCAGAUUCACUUCUCUGUGGCAAGAGAUAGAAAUCCACCUCAAGCAAGCUGAACACACCCCCCAAAAUGGGAGGAAAGCUGUGGCUCACGUGGCAGGGAAGGGUUCUGGGCAGCUCAGGGAAUCCAAGGGGUCUUGGGGCUGGAGCCAGGGUUCAGCACUGCCAGGCUCGCUCUCCAUUAGCCUCGUUCCUGCUUGUCUCUUCCAGCUGCUGCUGCUGCUUUAGCCAGGCCUUGCGUGGUGGGGCGGGCAGUCGCCUGGAAACCCCACCGUGCAUCUGCCUUAAUCUGGGCUCCCCCAAGGCCGACUCCAAGAAAGGAGUUUGGGUGCACUGCUCUGUUUGGGAGCUGACCUCGAGGAGCAUGGUCGGGAGAGGGGAAGCGAGACAGGGGAGGGGAGGAUGCCCCCAAAUGGGUGUGUGGCUGGGCAGUCACCGCUGGAGCAGGUAGAGCCCAGUCCCACUGGAAUGACCCAGAAGGACGGUGCAGAGAACGCCUCAGGGUGUGCACCUGGAGCAAGGAAGCUGAGGGUUGAUCUGCCAGCUCCCCGCCCCAUUCUCUGGCACUGGGGACGCUGGCUCUCGAGCAGACCUGUCUGGCUCCCCGAGCCAAAGAAUGGCCCUAUGCAGAAGGACCCAGGACCCCCAUAUCGUGGGCAGGAACUGUCAGCAGGUGACCUCAAGGGUGGACCAGUGGGACAUGCUGGUGCGCUUAUAUCAUGCACGCCAACUCCUUCCAGCGCCAUGGCCCCCAAAGCAGUGUGGAGCUGCUUCUCUUCCGGCUCCCAUUCCAGCAAGCCCCGUGAGGAACCCUAAGCUAGCAGGCCCAAGUUACGUGCCCACUGUGGGCCAGUCAAGGGGCCAGAUGAGUGGAGGGCUGCUUCCUAGCAAGUGAAGUAGCUGCACCUGUUGGGAUGGGUCAGCUCCCCUUGGCCCUUUCUGCCACCCUCCCUGGUUGCCGAAACCUGUAUUCACUACAGAAGGGCUGAGUCAUAAGGAGAAAGGCAUUGACAGACACAACCGCCUGUUCUCCAGUUUUCAUCAACUUGAUCUCCCUGCAGAAAGAAAACAGUCAUUAUCAAAAAGCCAAUUGUCAGUGUUCCCAUCAUGGUGCAAUGGAAACAAAUCCCACUAGGAACCAUGAAGUUGUAGGUUCGAUCCCUGGCCUUGCUCAGGGGGUUAAGGAUCUGGUGUUGCCAUGAGCUGUGGUGUAGGUUGCAGACGCAACUCAGAUUUGGUGUUGCUGCAGCUGUGGCGUAGGCUGGCAGCUGUAGCUCUGAUUUGCCCCUUAGCCUGGGAACCUCCAUAUGCCAUG